UUUUUUUCUCUCUCUAACUUCUCUCUAGCCUCCAUAAACCCCUCCCAAGUCUAGGGAACCUCCCUAGCACGAGAAGAAAGCCCCGGAGCGCCCGACGGCUCCGAGAAGAAAAGCUUUCGGCUCGGAAACGCUGCUCCAGCGAAGCCCGGUUUUUAAUAAAAACCCGUUGUUUUGUCGAGGAAAAUUGUUUUGAGAUAAUGAAGUGUUGUCUGAGUUCGGAAUCACCACCUAUUCAAGUGAGUGCACGGUCUCUUUCAUCUUACAAAUAGAUAUGAAGUAUUUUAUAUAAACUACAUACUAUGUGUGAAUACUAUCUGUAUAAUUACUAUCUAUGCUGGAUAAACGAUUUUAUACAUGUUUUAAAUGAUUUAAACUGUAUAUGUAUUUUAUAUCUACGAUAAUGUUGGGUUAAAACAUGGGUAGAUGUAAUAGAUGGAGUAUGAGUUGGAUGAUGAGUUGAGAGGUGAAAUAGACCGUGAGGUGAGGGUGAGAGGUGGACGAUGUGAGAAGCCUUUUUCCCAAAUGAUGGCCCCGUCAUUCAGCAGAGUAUGGAUGACAACCACGGACUAUUCUAGACAGUCCAGUGGAACACUAGCAUGCUCGCAACCUGUAGGUGUUGUGAACGAUGUGUUCACCGGUGUACUCUAAAAACCCAUUGACAUGUAUUGCGAGUGGAUACUGCCGAUAAACGAAAUAGCCCUGGCAGCUAUGGAUUUAGUGCCUGUUGAGAAAAUCCUGGCAGCUAUGGAUUUAGUGUCCGUUGAGUAAACCUUGGCAACGAUGGAUUUCAUGCCGAUUCCUUAGGAUGAUCCUUAGGAAUGAAUUAAAGAGGAGUAGCUGAUUCUUAGAGUAGACCCUUAAGAGUAAAGAAGAUAAUGGGGGAUGGUUAAUUGGGUUAACUGUUUGAAGAUUAAACAUAAUAAUUAUAUUAUUGUGGGUUGAAAACCCUAUAUACUCACCAGGUUUCCCAACCUGACCCACUCAGUUUAUUUAUAUCACAGGUGUUGAUAUGAAGUCACAUUACACUGAGAGAUUAAGGAGAUAUAGAUCACUAGUGAUAAUGAAUG
This 1067-nucleotide long non-coding RNA is filed under the name Lactuca sativa (garden lettuce). RNAcentral's name for it is "long non-coding RNA (LSAT_LNC007013)". Lineage: Eukaryota; Viridiplantae; Streptophyta; Magnoliopsida; Asterales; Asteraceae. The record is from RNAcentral.